UUAACGUGCCCUUUUGAAGAAGUCACUACUCCACUGAGCUAUGAAGCUAACACAGAGCUUUGGAGGCAACCUACUGAAGUUACAAAAGGGAACAUAAGACAAGCAAAAGAAUAAAGAGAGAAGUUGAAAUGCUGUACAAUGAUUUUGAAAAGCAUCAUGUAUUAUUCAUUCAGAGGUGAGAUAUAGCAACUUUAGCCUACACUUCUAGGGAACUCUUGCUUAUUUUGGUCCUUAACCGACACGCUCAACUUCACCGCUCCCUAGCUAUUCACACCUAACAGUAUUUCUACAGCCAAUUAGAAAUGCUGCUUUCAGACAGAACUGCCACUGACUACUGAAUGAUAGUUCGCAGCUCCCAAGUCAUAAGGUUUUUCCAUCUGGCAUAUAUGCUACUUUUAUCCUUGUGCUUUAACUGCAACUGCACAUAUACUUUCCAAAACUCUUAUGUGUCUCACUGUGAAAAAGGCUGAUGGCAUACAUUUUACCUAUUCUGGGUAUGUCACUGUAAACAUGAACAUAAAACCCAUGAGUCUUAUGAUAAAUCAGUGCUGUCAGGGUGACUUUUUCUUUUCAAUAUUUUUAAUUAACCGAGCAAUAACACAAAAGCCAAACAUAAUGGAUUUUAAGUAAUGAUCUUCAUCCAUAUCUGAUGCUUCUAUCAAAUGAAAGCUCUUGGAGAUGCUCUGAGUUCUCACCUUUCAUAGAGGUAAAAUACCUCAAAUAGUUUUGAAGCAAAAAAGAAAUGGAUGACAUUAGUGGCAGGACGUCACUCUGUUUUCCUGUGAUGAAGUUAAGUCCCAGGAAUCCUGGCCAAAAAGCCAACCUAGAUGCUGGAGCACACAGCCUCCUCGCUCCAUCAG
Molecule: long non-coding RNA, 860 nt
Organism: Athene cunicularia (burrowing owl)
Lineage: Eukaryota; Metazoa; Chordata; Aves; Strigiformes; Strigidae
Exons: 3
Source: RefSeq, a predicted model, not a curated record